RNAcentral lists this long non-coding RNA (602 nucleotides) under Setaria italica (foxtail millet). RNAcentral's name for it is "long non-coding RNA (SITA_LNC001027)". Lineage: Eukaryota; Viridiplantae; Streptophyta; Magnoliopsida; Poales; Poaceae. The record is from RNAcentral.
ACAGUUGCUGCCUACGCCGGAUGCCAUGAAAAACAGCAGAAAUAAAAUGGGAUUAGGAAGCAUGGGGAAACCCAAAUCUGCUGCGAGGGAUUAUCCUUUCUAGGAAACACUAACCCAGCUCUUGGGGGCAACACUUGGCCCAAAUUCUCACCACUGCUGCUGAACGCAGUGAAUCCGCAGAGCUGCAACAGAUCAAUGAUGGUUUACUUCAGAGACGCGGCAGAGCAAAAAUUGAGCUUUUUCUGGCUGGAGAGACGCAUAGAUCUCAAAAAAGCAAAAAUUGAGCUUUUUCUGGUUGGAGAGACGCAUAGGUCUCAAAAAAGCAAAAAUUGAGCUUUUUCUGGCUGGAGAGACGCAUAUGUCUCAAAAAAUCCAAUUGGGACUAACUAAUCGAGACCUUUAGUCUCGGUUAUUCCACCCGGGACUAAAGAGGUAUCUUUAGUCCCGGUUCAUAAUACUAACUGGGAUUAAAGGGUUUUGCGCCAAAAAAAAUAGAAAUCCCCGGGAGGCUCCCACACACAUGUAUCGUUCAAGAAUGGGGGAUGGAGUCAUCACAUUAUCUUUGACUAAUGCUGAGUAAGUAUUAUAUUGCAAAAAUUUCU